GAUGAACGCUGGCGGCGUGCCUAAUACAUGCAAGUCGAGCGAACGGACGAGAAUCUUGCUUCUCUGAUGUUAGCGGCGGACGGGUGAGUAACACGUGGAUAACCUACCUAUAAGACUGGGAUAACUUCGGGAAACCGGAGCUAAUACCGGAUAAUAUUUUGAACCGCAUGGUUCAAAAGUGAAAGACGGUCUUGCUGUCACUUAUAGAUGGAUCCGCGUUGCAUUAGCUAGUUGGUAAGGUAACGGCUUACCAAGGCAACGAUGCAUAGCCGACCUGAGAGGGUGAUCGGCCACACUGGAACUGAGACACGGUCCAGACUCCUACGGGAGGCAGCAGUAGGGAAUCUUCCGCAAUGGGCGAAAGCCUGACGGAGCAACGCCGCGUGAGUGAUGAAGGUCUUCGGAUCGUAAAACUCUGUUAUUAGGGAAGAACAUAUGUGUAAGUAACUGUGCACAUCUUGACGGUACCUAAUCAGAAAGCCACGGCUAACUACGUG
RNAcentral lists this ribosomal RNA (497 nucleotides) under uncultured bacterium. Its description in RNAcentral is "partial 16S ribosomal RNA". It matches the Rfam family "Bacterial small subunit ribosomal RNA", at positions 28 to 507 of the family's 1533-position model. The record is from RNAcentral.